This 403-nucleotide ribosomal RNA is filed under the name bacterium. RNAcentral describes it as "partial 16S ribosomal RNA". It matches the Rfam family "Bacterial small subunit ribosomal RNA", at positions 355 to 776 of the family's 1533-position model. The record is from RNAcentral.
UGGGGAAUAUUGCACAAUGGGGGAAACCCUGAUGCAGCGACGCCGCGUGAACGAAGAAGGUAUUCGUAUCGUAAAGUUCUGUCCUAUGGGAAGAUAAUGACAGUACCAUAGAAGAAAGCUCCGGCUAAAUACGUGCCAGCAGCCGCGGUAAUACGUAUGGAGCGAGCGUUGUCCGGAAUUAUUGGGCGUAAAGGGUACGCAGGCGGUUUAAUAAGUCGAAUGUUAAAGAUCGGGUCUCAACCCCGCAAAGCAUUGGAAACUGAUAAACUUGAGUAGUGGAGAGGAAAGUGGAAUUCCUAGUGUAGUGGUGAAAUACGUAGAUAUUAGGAGGAAUACCAGUAGCGAAGGCGACUUUCUGGACACAAACUGACGCUGAGGUACGAAAGCGUGGGGAGCAAACAGG